Diabrotica virgifera virgifera (western corn rootworm) is the source of this 973-nucleotide long non-coding RNA. RefSeq lists it as uncharacterized. The transcript has 3 exons. Lineage: Eukaryota; Metazoa; Arthropoda; Insecta; Coleoptera; Chrysomelidae. The record is from RefSeq and is a predicted model, not a curated record.
UGACAUGACACACGACACUGACACAUUUGCUCUCGCGGGAUUUGAUGAUUUUAAUCACAUGACAAAAUCCACAAUUUCAAUUGGACCAUGAUAGUCGUGACGUCAAAACGUCAAAAAAAGUUUUCCAAACACGUUAUGUCUAGGUACACGCUAAAAUGUACGCAAAUAAAAAAGUUAAACUUCAUCAAGCCAGUGACUAUUUAGCGUGGGCAGUGACUGUAUAUUUUGAUACACGCUAUUUUGAUAUGUUUAGUGUUUGUUUGAUAGAAAAAUAUUUGUUAUGACGUUUAAUUCUACCUAACAUUUUUAUUUGCGUACACGUUAGCGUAUACCUAGACACAACGUGUUUGAAAAAAUUUGACGUCACACUAUCACGGUCCAUUGUACGACGCAAUUGCAUUUUGUUUGAUUUUGUCUUUGUUGUUUUUUUAAAAAUUGAGCUAAGACCAGCUAAGGCUGUGUUUUACCAUUAUUGAAAUGGAAGAACAUAAAAUAAUACGUAAAUGUGUUCCUGGUUGUACCGACUGGACAAGCAAUCGAUUACGUUUUCCAAAUCCCCAACAUGAAAUGAACAUGUUCUUGGAAUGGAUGAAACUUAUCAAGAGGAAUCAAUUAAGCAUUUUAAAGAAGAAGACAUUUUACCAAACGUGAAAUCUGGAAGGAGAGGAAUUAUCAGAAGCGCAAUCCCGAGCUUAUUUUUACCGCCACUAGCAGGUCAGGGUGAAUAGAUGCCUAAGCUCAGAAUGGGACUCAUUUCCAUGGAGUAUAACGUGGAUCCCUGCACAAGGAUAUAGGCGAAGACCAGAAUAGCAGCAAUCACUUACAAAUUAUAUCUGUGAUAUUAUACUUCUGUAAUAGGGCUUUUAGCUUUAGUAAACAAAUGACUGUGAAUGAAAAGCCCUAUUCCAUGCAAAUUUUGAUUGCUCAAAUAAGUUUAUAAAGUAAAUUACAUAAAUAAAUACAUUUUUAAGAA